GGGGCUGACUGGAAUCGACAGGAAAGAUUUUCGGUUAGUAAGCAUGUCGGAGCAAAAUUACUUACUCUGUUAACAAAUAGUAAUUAACCACUUAUAAAUGGCAAUCAACGAUUCGCCAUGGCUGCCUAAUUCAAUGAAUUAGAAGCCUUUGUGCCGUGCGCUUGACGCCUAAUACACAGCGUGCCGCAUAUCAACCCGCUCGAAAGAGCACUUAGGCUAGUUGCGUAGGAUACCUUGACUACAAUGCGAAAUUCAGAGGAUAAGGUGAUGGCGCGGGUUGGUUUCUUCCUUGUCAUUGCUCGAAAAUUGAAUAGAAAAUAAGCAUGUAGAAAGCUCUCAGUUACUUUGUCUGGACCCGGGUUCAACUCCCGGCAGCUCCACUA
This 383-nucleotide transfer-messenger RNA is filed under the name Saprospiraceae bacterium. It matches the Rfam family "transfer-messenger RNA". From Rfam's summary of the family: Bacterial tmRNA, also known as 10Sa RNA or SsrA, is named for its dual tRNA and mRNA-like properties. Its role is to liberate the mRNA from a stalled ribosome. The record is from RNAcentral. Lineage: Bacteria; Pseudomonadati; Bacteroidota; Saprospiria; Saprospirales; Saprospiraceae.